RNAcentral lists this long non-coding RNA (1032 nucleotides) under Cyanoderma ruficeps (rufous-capped babbler). RNAcentral describes it as "lncRNA (ENSCRFG00000003811.1)". The record is from RNAcentral. Lineage: Eukaryota; Metazoa; Chordata; Aves; Passeriformes; Timaliidae.
AUGAUCCCGAGGAAGGGGAAGGAGCAGGGGAGGAAAAUCCUGAGGAAAACCCGGAAGAAAAUCCCCAAAAUCCUGAGGAAAAUCCCCAAAAUCCUGAGGAAAAUCCCCAAAAUCCUGAGGAAAAUCCUGUGGAAAAUCCUGAGGAAAAACCCCAAAAUCCUGAGGAAAAUCUUGAGGAAAAACCCAAAAAUUUGGAAGAAAAUUUUAAGGAAAAUCCUCAACGUUUCGAGGAAAAUCCCGAAAAUUUCGAGGAAAAUCCUCAAAACCUCAAGAAAAAUCUUCAAAAUCUCGAGGAAAAUCUUGAGGAAAAUCUUCAAAAUCUUGAGGAAAACCCCAAGAAUUUUGAGGAAAAUCCCCAAAAUUUUGAGGAAAAUCUCGAGGAAAAUCCUCAAAAUCUCGAGAAAAAUUCCCAAAAUCUCGAGGGAAAUCUUCAAAAUUUCGAGGAAAACCCCAAAAGUUCUGAGAAAAAUUCUGAGGAAAAUCCUCAAAACUUCGAGGAAAACCCCAAAAAUUUCGAGGAAAACCCCAAAAAUUUUGAGGAAAAUUGUCAAAAUCUUGAGGAAAAUCCUCAAAAUUUCAAGGAAAAUCCCCCAAAUUUUAAGGAAAAUCCCAAAAAUCCCGAGGAAAUUCCAGCAGCUCCAAGCCCGGAAAGGGAAAAAGACACAAAUCCCGAGGUGGAAAAAACGGAAAAUUCCCAAAAUCCCGAAGAAUUCCUGGAAAAAUUCCCCAGGGAAAAGCGACAGGAGGAAAGAGAAAAUUCCGGAAUGUUCCAGGAAUGAAAUUCCUGAGGGGAAAAAGGACCCAAAAAAAAUUCCAAAAUCUUCUUUGGAUGUGUCGGAUCCGUGUCCGUGGAUGUUCCCCCCCGGCCCAGCCCCAAAUCCCGGGAAUUCCUGGGGAAAAAUUGGAAUUUGGUUGGAUUUUUUUGGGAAUUUCUGGGAGAAAAUGGAAUUUUUUUGGAUUUUUUGGGGGGAUUUCUGGGAAAAAAUGGAAUUUUUUUGGGAAUUCCUGGGGGAAAAAAGGAAUUUUGUUUGA